CCUACGGGAGGCAGCAGUGGGGAAUCUUGCGCAAUGGGCGAAAGCCUGACGCAGCCAUGCCGCGUGAAUGAUGAAGGUCUUAGGAUUGUAAAAUUCUUUCAGUAGGGACGAUAAUGACGGUACCUACAGAAGAAGCCCCGGCUAACUUCGUGCCAGCAGCCGCGGUAAUACGAAGGGGGCUAGCGUUGCUCGGAAUUACUGGGCGUAAAGGGAGCGUAGGCGGACAUUUAAGUCAGGGGUGAAAUCCCAGAGCUCAACUCUGGAACUGCCUUUGAUACUGGGUGUCUUGAGUGUGAGAGAGGUAUGUGGAACUCCGAGUGUAGAGGUGAAAUUCGUAGAUAUUCGGAAGAACACCAGUGGCGAAGGCGACAUACUGGCUCAUUACUGACGCUGAGGCUCGAAAGCGUGGGGAGCAAACAGGAUUAGAUACCCUGGUAGUCCACGCCGUAAACGAUGAUUGCUAGUUGUCGGGAAGUUUACUUCUCGGUGACGCAGCUAACGCAUUAAGCAAUCCGCCUGGGGAGUACGGUCGCAAGNUUAAAGCUCAAAGGAAUUGACGGCGNGAGAGNGCGAGACGACGACGAGGGAGAGG
RNAcentral lists this ribosomal RNA (592 nucleotides) under uncultured bacterium. RNAcentral describes it as "bacterial SSU rRNA". It matches the Rfam family "Bacterial small subunit ribosomal RNA", at positions 338 to 947 of the family's 1533-position model. The record is from RNAcentral.